RNAcentral lists this ribosomal RNA (273 nucleotides) under uncultured bacterium. RNAcentral describes it as "partial 16S ribosomal RNA". It matches the Rfam family "Bacterial small subunit ribosomal RNA", at positions 524 to 796 of the family's 1533-position model. The record is from RNAcentral.
UACGGAGGAUGCAAGCGUUAUCCGGAUUUAUUGGGUUUAAAGGGUGCGUAGGCGGGGUAUUAAGUCAGUGGUGAAAGUUUGCAGCUUAACUGUAAAAUUGCCAUUGAUACUGGUACUCUUGAAUGCAAUUGAGGUAGGCGGAAUGUGUAAUGUAGCGGUGAAAUGCUUAGAUAUUACACAGAACACCGAUUGCGAAGGCAGCUUGCUAAAUUGUGAUUGACGCUGAGGCACGAAAGCGUGGGGAUCAAACAGGAUUAGAUACCCCCGUAGUCC